UCAUCUGCAAGGCAUGUGGAAUUUCCACAAACAAGGAAUUAUAUGAAAAAAAGGGGAUAUCUUAAAUUCAGCACUCCUGAUAACAAGAAAGUGAAAAGAUUAAGAAGGAAAUUGUGGGCCUGGCAUGGUAGCUCAUGCCUGUAAUCCCAGCACUUUUGGAGGCCGAGGCAGGAGGAUCCCUUGAGGCCAGGCAUUUGAGACCAGCCUGGGCAACACAGUGAGACUCUUUCUCUACAAAAAUAAAAAUUAAAGAAAAAUUAGGCAGGUGUGAUGGUGCACUCCUGUAGUCACAGCUACUCGGGAGGCUGAGGAAGGAGGAUCACUUGAGCCCAGGAGUUCAAGGCUGGCUGCAGUGAGCUACUGUUGUGCCACUGCAU
RNAcentral lists this long non-coding RNA (377 nucleotides) under Homo sapiens (human). RNAcentral's name for it is "HSALNT0323038". The record is from RNAcentral. Lineage: Eukaryota; Metazoa; Chordata; Mammalia; Primates; Hominidae.